This 253-nucleotide ribosomal RNA is filed under the name uncultured bacterium. Its description in RNAcentral is "partial 16S ribosomal RNA". It matches the Rfam family "Bacterial small subunit ribosomal RNA", at positions 524 to 776 of the family's 1533-position model. The record is from RNAcentral.
UACGUAGGUGACAAGCGUUGUCCGGAUUUACUGGGCGUAAAGAGCGCGCAGGCGGUUGAUCAAGUCGAGUGUGAAAGCCCCCGGCUCAACUGGGGAGGGUCAUUCGAUACUGAUCGACUCGAAGGCAGGAGAGGGUAGUGGAAUUCCCGGUGUAGUGGUGAAAUGCGCAGAUAUCAGGAGGAACACCGAUGGCGAAGGCAGGUCUCUGGGCAUUAACUGACGCUGAGGGGCGAAAGCAUGGGGAGCGAACAGG